AAGGCAAAGUGGUAUGGAAAAGACACUAGCUAAUUACUGUGGAUGAAAUAGACAUAUCCUAUGUGAUUGACAAGCCAAACAGAAAGAUUAAUGUCUAUUAAUGCAUGGUCAGGAAAAGUAAUGAAAACUAACGUUAGUUAGCAUAGAAUUCAACUCAAACAGUUCCAUGGGGCCAUCUUUGUCAGUGAGGUUGAGUAACUGAGUAUAUUACAGAAUGGUACGAUCAAGUCUUGCUGUUAAGGUGAAAAGAAAGAUUUUAGAAUAAAGAAGAAAAUCAUAACCUGUUUCCUGAUUAAUUGAGGGAAGAGUUCGGUGAAAUAUAGAGGCAAGAAUUCUGACACUAGUUAACAGAAGAAAGAACAUGAAUAACAGAAGCAUGAUAUUGCUGAAUUUUUCUAAUUUAAAAAUUCACUCAGAUGCCUUUCAAGAAAUAUAAGGAAUCGCUUAAAUGUGAAAACCAUCACAUAGAAUCCAAACUUUACAGCUCACUAAUGCAGGAAGAGAUGUCAUCAACUACUUAUGAAUACCCACAUCAAUGCUGCGAGCUAAUCAAGUCGAAGCAGUUUUAGACCAAAGUUUGUAUUGAUACCAGUUCAGACAGAGCUUUCAAUGGAAAUGAUGACAUGGCAACGUAUCCUGUGGUCUUACAUGGUAGAGCACAUAGUGUUUCAGAGGAAAUUGUUUCAAUUUUUAUAGUGCUGAAUUCUCAGGUUAUUUGAAAAAUCUUGGAUGAGUGCUUCAAUCCCAGACAGUGACCCUCAAUAAAGGAUCAAAUGACAACCAAGGGAUUUUUAGCCUACAAGAGAAAAAAACAGAAGAAUACAUCAAGGCAGUUAUACAUGUUUCUGAGGAUAUAAGCUUACAAAACCAUCAAAACAAACUGGUUUAUCAACUGUUUUCUGCUCUUUGAUCUGGUUGUUGUGUCUUUGAUACAUUCCCUAUUUUCAUUCUCAAAUUACUGACAUGUAUUUGCAAUAUACCAUCAACUGAUG
Long non-coding RNA from Mytilus trossulus (common blue mussel), 992 nucleotides. RefSeq lists it as uncharacterized. The transcript has 7 exons. NCBI's taxonomy places the organism in Eukaryota, Metazoa, Mollusca, Bivalvia, Mytilida, Mytilidae. The record is from RefSeq and is a predicted model, not a curated record.